Molecule: transfer RNA, 73 nt
Filed under: Nicotiana tabacum (common tobacco)
Lineage: Eukaryota; Viridiplantae; Streptophyta; Magnoliopsida; Solanales; Solanaceae
Description: tRNA-Tyr (GTA) (tRNA-Tyr-GTA-6-1, tRNA-Tyr-GTA-7-1, tRNA-Tyr-GTA-7-2)
Rfam family: tRNA
About the family: Transfer RNA (tRNA) molecules are approximately 80 nucleotides in length. Their secondary structure includes four short double-helical elements and three loops (D, anti-codon, and T loops).
Source: RNAcentral
CCGACCUUAGCUCAGUUGGUAGAGCGGAGGACUGUAGAUCCUUAGGUCACUGGUUUGAAUCCGGUAGGUCGGA